AGGCAGCAGUGGGGAAUAUUGGUCAAUGGGCGCAAGCCUGAACCAGCCAUGCCGCGUGCAGGAAGACGGCCCUAUGGGUUGUAAACUGCUUUUGUCAGGGAAUAAACCCCCGCUCGUGAGCGGGGCUGAAGGUACCUGAAGAAUAAGCAUCGGCUAACUCCGUGCCAGCAGCCGCGGUAAUACGGAGGAUGCAAGCGUUAUCCGGAUUCAUUGGGUUUAAAGGGUGCGCAGGCGGAUUGGUAAGUCAGGGGUGAAAUCCCACAGCUCAACUGUGGAACUGCCUUUGAUACUGUCAGUCUAGAGUAUAGUUGAAGUUGGCGGAAUGUGUCAUGUAGCGGUGAAAUGCUUAGAUAUGACACAGAACACCGAUCGCGAAGGCAGCUAGCUAAGCUAUAACUGACGCUCAUGCACGAAAGCGUGGGGAUCAAACAGGAUUAGAUACCCCGGUAG
This 450-nucleotide ribosomal RNA is filed under the name uncultured bacterium. RNAcentral's name for it is "bacterial SSU rRNA". It matches the Rfam family "Bacterial small subunit ribosomal RNA", at positions 346 to 793 of the family's 1533-position model. The record is from RNAcentral.